RNAcentral lists this ribosomal RNA (908 nucleotides) under uncultured bacterium. Its description in RNAcentral is "bacterial SSU rRNA". It matches the Rfam family "Bacterial small subunit ribosomal RNA", at positions 8 to 916 of the family's 1533-position model. The record is from RNAcentral.
AGAGUUUGAUCAUGGCUCAGGAUGAACGCUGGCGGCAUGCCUAAUACAUGCAAGUCGAACGGGAAAGACUUGUCUUUCCAGUGGCGAACGGGUGAGUAAUGCGUAGACAACUUGCCUUUAAGACGAGGAUAACGGCUGGAAACGGCUGCUAAUACUGGAUAGGAUAAAGAGUCGCAUGACUUUUUAUUUAAAGGCGCGCUUGCGCCGCUUAAAGAGAGGUCUACGUCGCAUUAGCUAGUUGGUGGGGUAACGGCUCACCGAGGCGACGAUGCGUAGCUGUGCUGAGAGGCAGAACAGCCACACUGGGACUGAGACACGGCCCAGACUCCUACGGGAGGCAGCAGUAGGGAAUUUUCGGCAAUGGGGGCAACCCUGACCGAGCAAUGCCGCGUGAACGACGAAGGUCUUCGGAUCGUAAAGUUCUGUGAUUGGGGAAGAACAGCAUGAUCAGGAAAUGGGUCAUGUUUGACGGUACCCGAUUAGAAAGCCCCGGCUAACUAUGUGCCAGCAGCCGCGGUAAAACAUAGGGGGCGAGCGUUAUCCGGAAUUAUUGGGCGUAAAGAGUACGUAGGCGGCCUGUUAAGUCUGAUGUGAAAUCCCGCGGCUUAACCGCGGAGGGUCAUUGGAAACUGGCAGGCUUGAGUACGGCAGGGGUAAGUGGAAUUCCAAGUGGAGCGGUGAAAUGCGUAGAUAUUUGGAGGAACACCAGUGGCGAAGGCGGCUUACUGGGCCGGAACUGACGCUGAGGUACGAAAGCGUGGGGAGCAAACAGGAUUAGAUACCCUGGUAGUCCACGCCGUAAACGAUGAGCACUAAGUGUCGGAUAUAAAUUCGGCGCUGUAGUUAACACAUUAAGUGCUCCGCCUGGGGAGUACGGUCGCAAGACUGAAACUCAAAUGAAUUGACGG